RNAcentral lists this non-coding RNA (217 nucleotides) under uncultured Robinsoniella sp. The record is from RNAcentral. Lineage: Bacteria; Bacillati; Bacillota; Clostridia; Lachnospirales; Lachnospiraceae.
CCGCAUGGCAAGGCGUAGCGAGCCACCAUUAGCGAGUCUUGGGUUCUGACUGGUAACAGGCAGAGCUAAGCGUAGACAGUUAGGGAGCAGGGUUGUAAUGCUAUAGAGCUUCGAAAUUUUACAAAGUCUCAGAGGCCGACGCAGUCUAUCCAUGCGGAAGGCAACAUCACAACAAGCGAUAUGCGAGUCUGUUGUGGCUUUGACGGAGUCAGAGGGC